UACAGAGGGGGCAAGCGUUGUUCGGAAUUACUGGGCGUAAAGGGUGCGUAGGCGGCGAGGCAAGUUCGAUGUGAAAUCUCCGGGCUCAACUCGGAAAUGGCAUUGAAUACUAUCCCGCUUGAGGGUCGGAGGGGAGACUGGAAUUCUCGGUGUAGCAGUGAAAUGCGUAGAUAUCGAGAGGAACACCAGUGGCGAAGGCGAGUCUCUGGACGACUCCUGACACUGAGGCACGAAAGCUGGGGGAGCAAACAGG
RNAcentral lists this ribosomal RNA (253 nucleotides) under uncultured bacterium. RNAcentral's name for it is "partial 16S ribosomal RNA". It matches the Rfam family "Bacterial small subunit ribosomal RNA", at positions 524 to 776 of the family's 1533-position model. The record is from RNAcentral.